AGGUAAAAUGGCCGAAAAAAGGUGCCGAGUUGUAGCCUCGGUUAUAGGGGAAAUGCCCUCUUUUUAUCAA
RNAcentral lists this transfer RNA (70 nucleotides) under Desmognathus organi (northern pygmy salamander). Its description in RNAcentral is "tRNA-Tyr". Lineage: Eukaryota; Metazoa; Chordata; Amphibia; Caudata; Plethodontidae. The record is from RNAcentral.